This 700-nucleotide ribosomal RNA is filed under the name uncultured Actinomycetes bacterium. Its description in RNAcentral is "bacterial SSU rRNA". It matches the Rfam family "Bacterial small subunit ribosomal RNA", at positions 78 to 790 of the family's 1533-position model. Lineage: Bacteria; Bacillati; Actinomycetota; Actinomycetes. The record is from RNAcentral.
GCUUGCUUCUACUGGAUUAGUGGCGAACGGGUGAGUAACACGUGAGCAAUCUGCCCCUGACUCUGGGAUAACUCCGAGAAAUCGGUGCUAAUACCGGAUACGAACUGAGACCGCAUGGUCAUCAGUUGGAAAGAACUUCGGUCAGGGAUGAGCUCGCGGCCUAUCAGCUAGUUGGUGAGGUAAUGGCUCACCAAGGCGACGACGGGUAGCCGGCCUGAGAGGGUGACCGGCCACACUGGGACUGAGACACGGCCCAGACUCCUACGGGAGGCAGCAGUGGGGAAUAUUGCACAAUGGGCGCAAGCCUGAUGCAGCAACGCCGCGUGAGGGACGAAGGCCUUCGGGUUGUAAACCUCUUUUAGCAGGGAAGAAGCGAAAGUGACGGUACCUGCAGAAAAAGCACCGGCUAACUACGUGCCAGCAGCCGCGGUAAUACGUAGGGUGCAAGCGUUGUCCGGAAUUAUUGGGCGUAAAGAGCUCGUAGGCGGUUUGUCGCGUCUGCUGUGAAAAUCCGAGGCUCAACCUCGGACCUGCAGUGGGUACGGGCAAACUAGAGUGCGGUAGGGGAGAUUGGAAUUCCUGGUGUAGCGGUGGAAUGCGCAGAUAUCAGGAGGAACACCAAUGGCGAAGGCAGAUCUCUGGGCCGUAACUGACGCUGAGGAGCGAAAGCGUGGGGAGCGAACAGGAUUAGAUACCCAGG